This 27-nucleotide non-coding RNA is filed under the name Mus musculus (house mouse). Lineage: Eukaryota; Metazoa; Chordata; Mammalia; Rodentia; Muridae. The record is from RNAcentral.
UGCAAAAGGCACUUCAAUGAACUGUUC